This 384-nucleotide ribosomal RNA is filed under the name uncultured bacterium. Its description in RNAcentral is "bacterial SSU rRNA". It matches the Rfam family "Bacterial small subunit ribosomal RNA", at positions 30 to 416 of the family's 1533-position model. The record is from RNAcentral.
AUUGAACGCUGGCGGCAUGCUUUACACAUGCAAGUCGAACGGGGUGAGGGGGCAACUCCUCAUUCAGUGGCGAACGGGUGAGUAAUGCAUCGGAACGUGUCCCGUAGUGGGGGAUAACUCGGCGAAAGCCGUGCUAAUACCGCAUAUGCUCUACGGAGGAAAGUGGGGGACCUGAAAGGGCCUCACGCUAUGGGAGCGGCCGAUGUCCGAUUAGCUUGUUGGCGGGGUAAUGGCCCACCAAGGCGACGAUCGGUAGCUGGUCUGAGAGGAUGAUCAGCCACACUGGGACUGAGACACGGCCCAGACUCCUACGGGAGGCAGCAGUGGGAAUUUUGGACAAUGGGGCAACCCUGAUCCAGCCAUGCCGCGUGCGGGAAGAAGGCC